GCGAGAGUGGCGGAAUUGGUAGACGCACUGGACUUAGGAUCCAGCGGCUUGUCCGUGGGAGUUCGAGUCUCCCCUCUCGCACCA
Molecule: transfer RNA, 84 nt
Filed under: Desulfonauticus sp.
Lineage: Bacteria; Pseudomonadati; Thermodesulfobacteriota; Desulfovibrionia; Desulfovibrionales; Desulfonauticaceae
Description: tRNA-Leu
Rfam family: tRNA
About the family: Transfer RNA (tRNA) molecules are approximately 80 nucleotides in length. Their secondary structure includes four short double-helical elements and three loops (D, anti-codon, and T loops).
Source: RNAcentral